Molecule: long non-coding RNA, 937 nt
Organism: Epinephelus moara (kelp grouper)
Lineage: Eukaryota; Metazoa; Chordata; Actinopteri; Perciformes; Serranidae
Exons: 4
Source: RefSeq, a predicted model, not a curated record
ACUCUGAAGUGGAGGGGCCAGCCGGAGCUGAAGCGGACGCUGAUGUGGGAUGGCCAGCCGGAGGGGACCAGAUGGAUUGGGACCAGUUCAGCAGGUGCGAGGAAAGAUUUUCCUGCAGGGAGGAUAAGCGUCCAGACAGGCGUGUUGUUUACUGCCUUCUAUGCAAGAAGCCAUUUGAGAUGCUGUCCAGCCACCUCAAAAACAAAUGCAUGCAGAACAGCACCCAGGAGGAGAGGGAGCAGGAGCUGAGGAGGGCAAAGCAAUCCCAGAAGAGGUGGAGCGCGGUUGACCGGACCUGGGACUACCAGGAGCUGCUCUCUGUCAUUAAAGACAGAGAGGCCUGCGACGCCCUGGCCAACAAGCUCACCAAGAAGGGUUUUUUGUCCUCCACACACCGGCUGAGCUCGCCGAGGACACACAAGAGAGCUGGUUUCCCAAAGUGUGUCUGACAAUUACAUUUGUUUUAAGUGAUUUUUUGCAGUGCUUGUCUGACUUUCCUGCCUGUCAGACGUGAGGGUGGAGCGAGCUCUGCAAGGGCUGAGCAAGUCCUCUUACUAGAGGCGGCAAAGCCCUGGAUGCAGGAGACCUGCGGGAGGCUGAACCAGGGUGAGCAAGUGGAAUGACAGGAAGCCGGUCAAGGGCGGUGUGUUCAUUCAGCUCGAGGAGCAGUCGGGCUGCAUCUUGAGGGAAGAGGAGGAAGAGUGACUAAAGUGCUACUUCACCUGUGUCCGGCCACUGUGCCUGAAGAAGCAGUCGGGAGACACAGAUGACGACGGCCGUUUUUUCCUUGGAAACACAGGAGCUCCUGUUGCGAACCCCAGCAGUGACCUAGAACGCCUGUGGAAGCAGAGUGUAUACAUUUGCAAAGGCCAGCCAAACUUUCAGUUUCAUGGAAACUGCACAUCAUGUCAACCCUCACCUGCGUGCACAAAUCUCU